Molecule: ribosomal RNA, 354 nt
Filed under: Triticum aestivum (bread wheat)
Lineage: Eukaryota; Viridiplantae; Streptophyta; Magnoliopsida; Poales; Poaceae
Description: partial small subunit ribosomal RNA
Source: RNAcentral
AUGCUCAACAGGAGGAGCCGGGGUCGCAGCUGCACCACACGACAGUGGGCAAGGGCGAGCUCUAGCGCGAGCAUGCGGAGAGCUAUCCACUGGAUCCGGCCGGCCCAGAUCCACACGGCUCCGUCAACGACACGCACGGGGACCCUGCCGACGUACUCUCUUCUUGACGAACAGAAGGGGACGAAUCAGGACGGAUCCACGCUGUCGACGCCUCUUCUUUUCUCCCAUGGACGAGCCCUCGCCCAGCGACCACCUCCACUCAGCUGUUGGGAGGCGAAAAUGGCAAGGGCGGCAGGAGAAAUCCCUCCUCCUUGUGUUGCUGCAUCACUGCAUCCCCCGAUAUUUCAGGAGUAG